Molecule: ribosomal RNA, 513 nt
Filed under: uncultured bacterium
Lineage: Bacteria
Description: partial 16S ribosomal RNA
Rfam family: Bacterial small subunit ribosomal RNA
Source: RNAcentral
GACGAACGCUGGCGGCGUGCCUAAUACAUGCAAGUAGAACGCUGAAGAGAGGAGCUUGCUCUUCUUGGAAGAGUUGCGAACGGGUGAGUAACGCGUAGGUAACCUGCCUUGUAGCGGGGGAUAACUAUUGGAAACGAUAGCUAAUACCGCAUAACAAUGGAUGACACAUGUCAUUUAUUUUAAAGGGGCACCUGCACCACUACCAGAUGGACCUGCUGUGUAUUAUCUAGGAGGUGAGGUAACGACUCACCUAGGCGACGAUACAUAGCCGACCUGAGAGGGUGAUCGGCCACACUGGGACUGGGACACGGCCCAGACUCCUACGGGAGGCAGCAGUAGGGAAUCUUCGGCAAUGGGGGCAACCCUGACCGAGCAACGCCGCGUGAGUGAAGAAGGUUUUCGGAUCGUAAAGCUCCGUUGUAAGUCAAGAACGAGUGUGAGAGUGGAAAGUUCACACUGUGACGGUAGCUUACCAGAAAGGGACGGCUAACUACGUGCCAGCAGCCGCGGUAA